UUCCUUACCCCUCAGAUCUAAAUAUUGGUCUGAGUGGCUCAAAAAUAAGGAAGAGAAAAACGGAAGUGGAUUUGGAUCUUCGGUGACAUACAAGUUUAUUUCAAACAAGC
This 110-nucleotide small nucleolar RNA is filed under the name Echinops telfairi (small Madagascar hedgehog). RNAcentral describes it as "Small nucleolar RNA SNORA61 (ENSETEG00000026412.1)". Lineage: Eukaryota; Metazoa; Chordata; Mammalia; Afrosoricida; Tenrecidae. The record is from RNAcentral.